UACGUAGGGCGCAAGCGUUAUCCGGAAUUAUUGGGCGUAAAGAGCUCGUAGGCGGUUUGUCGCGUCUGCUGUGAAAGACCGGGGCUCAACUCCGGUUCUGCAGUGGGUACGGGCAGACUAGAGUGCAGUAGGGGACACUGGAAUUCCUGGUGUAGCGGUGAAAUGCGCAGAUAUCAGGAGGAACACCGAUGGCGAAGGCAGGUCUCUGGGCUGUAACUGACGCUGAGGAGCGAAAGCAUGGGGAGCGAACAGG
Molecule: ribosomal RNA, 253 nt
Filed under: uncultured bacterium
Lineage: Bacteria
Description: partial 16S ribosomal RNA
Rfam family: Bacterial small subunit ribosomal RNA
Source: RNAcentral